CACAAAGAUAUGAAGGCCGGGUGCUGGCAACAGCGUUCUGCUGAAUUAUUUUUCGCCCAUGUCUUUUGCGCACUUUUUGUUUCCUGGGCGAGUUCGCUCGCCACCAGGACCCCCAUGUAAACCUUUUUGUUUAUGCAAUCAGCGUCAGUACAAUAAUGAAUUUAUUA
RNAcentral lists this unclassified non-coding RNA (167 nucleotides) under uncultured Setosphaeria. Its description in RNAcentral is "sequence contains ITS1". The record is from RNAcentral. Lineage: Eukaryota; Fungi; Ascomycota; Dothideomycetes; Pleosporales; Pleosporaceae.